CCUACGGGGCGCAGCAGUGGGGAAUAUUGCACAAUGGGGGAAACCCUGAUGCAGCGACGCCGCGUGAGCGAUGAAGUAUUUCGGUAUGUAAAGCUCUAUCAGCAGGGAAGAAAAUGACGGUACCUGACUAAGAAGCCCCGGCUAACUACGUGCCAGCAGCCGCGGUAAUACGUAGGGGGCAAGCGUUAUCCGGAUUUACUGGGUGUAAAGGGAGCGUAGACGCCGAUGCAAGCCAGAUGUGAAAGCCCGGGGCUCAACCCCGGGACUGCAUUUGGAACUGUAUAGCUGGAGUGUCGGCGAGGCAG
This 305-nucleotide ribosomal RNA is filed under the name uncultured bacterium. RNAcentral's name for it is "bacterial SSU rRNA". It matches the Rfam family "Bacterial small subunit ribosomal RNA", at positions 338 to 660 of the family's 1533-position model. The record is from RNAcentral.